This 388-nucleotide ribosomal RNA is filed under the name uncultured bacterium. Its description in RNAcentral is "bacterial SSU rRNA". It matches the Rfam family "Bacterial small subunit ribosomal RNA", at positions 28 to 418 of the family's 1533-position model. The record is from RNAcentral.
GACGAACGCUGGCGGCGUGCUUAACACAUGCAAGUCGAGCGGUAAGGCCCUUUCGGGGGUACACGAGCGGCGAACGGGUGAGUAACACGUGGGUGACCUGCCCUUAGCUCUGGGAUAAGCCUGGGAAACUGGGUCUAAUACCGGAUAUGACUCCAUGACGCAUGUUGUGGGGUGGAAAGCCUUGUGCGGCUAGGGAUGGGCCCGCGGCCUAUCAGCUUGUUGGUGGGGUGAUGGCCUACCAAGGCGACGACGGGUAGCCGGCCUGAGAGGGCGACCGGCCACACUGGGACUGAGACACGGCCCAGACUCCUACGGGAGGCAGCAGUGGGGAAUCUUGCGCAAUGGGCGAAAGCCUGACGCAGCGACGCCGCGUGAGGAUGACGGCCUC